Molecule: long non-coding RNA, 1862 nt
Organism: Camelus dromedarius (Arabian camel)
Lineage: Eukaryota; Metazoa; Chordata; Mammalia; Artiodactyla; Camelidae
Exons: 3
Source: RefSeq, a predicted model, not a curated record
CACACACAAAGAAUGAAAUAAAGAAAUGAAACUCGCUAAGCAGACGAAAACAGGCAACUUUCUGCUUAGAAAACAGCCUUCUCCGGUGGGAAAGGUUGGACUGCCAUAUCUAAGAGAAAGACUUGCUCCCGAAUCUGUUUUGGCCAGAAAUGGUGAGAAGAAAAAGCAUGAAGAAGCCGCGAAGUGUGGGGGAGAAAAAGGUGGAAGCGAAGAAACAGCUCCCGGAGCAAACUGUACAAAACCUCGCCAAGAGUGUCGGGAGGCAGGACCGUUAUUCCUGCGGAGCAGGAGAGAGAGAGACCCUGAAACACGCGCCACCUAUCUUUGUGGGGAGGGAUAAUUGAAGCGCCCUGAGCGUGAGCAUCAUGUGAAAACGUGAUCGCCAAGUUUCUCUCUGGGAAAGGAUCUGGGAUAGAUUAUACCUUGAAGUCUCCGCAAACGCUUUAGUGGAAGAAAUGAAAUUCCACCUCCCUCCCUUCCUCUCUCCCUCCCUCUCGCCUCCCUCCCUCCCUCCCUCCCUUCUCCACGCCCCCCCCCCCCCCCCGUCAAGCCUUUGGCAUCAUUAUCCUCAUCACUAAAUCCUACAGAGUACAGGGCGGAAAACGGUGCACACCAUUCACAGAACUGGAGAACUCUGAGGGGCGAAAGUUAAAGGGAAAGAUCCCGGUUCCUCAAUACAGAUCGCCUCUUCUUAUACAGAUAGCUCUAAUGGCCAGAUUUGAAAUGCACAUUAAGUUGUGUGGAUUUCUCAGCACCGCUUCUGGAACUAAAAUUUUUGCCCUUUCUGUUAUUAUUAUUGUUAUUUUUCUUUUUAGAUGCCAGAGCCAGAAAAAAAAUGCUUCAUGUGAACUGUAUUUUAGGGUGUGUGUGUUGGGGUGUGUGUGUGUGUGUGAUGAAUUUCUGGAUUGGAUCCCAAUACUGAAAAGCGAUUUGGCAUUUUUAAAAAGGGUCUCUAAGUAAAUUAACAUAGAGCACUGAGUUGACCGAUCUCUGAAUCUCUCUACAUCUCACGGAGACCUCACUACAAAGUGAGGGAGUAUGUGUAGGGAAGCAGGAGGAAAAGGAGAAAGGCCAUAGAGGAACUUAGCAGGGAAGGAAGAACACGAUAUUAAACGGCAUGGGGUCUAAGUUUUGGAGUUUAUAUUUUUUGAUAUUGCAAUUAAAGUAAAAUUAAAAAGAAAAGACUCCACCUUUGCUCUGAAGGGAUUGGUUAUGUAAAUAUGGAAGGGAUUUCCUGGAGAAUACAGCUUUCUACUGUAUGGUUAAUUAAAUAAUCACUCAAAAGCUUCCAACGUGACGCUUCUGUCGUAAUCCAAUCAGGUUACAUAGGUCCUAAACAAGAAAGAUAUUUUCCACAUCUGGAAGUCAGCAAUUUAGCAAGUACUGCACAUUAUUAACCAAUUCAGAGCCCACUUCCCAGGGGAAUUUUUUUUGAAGUUUAAGUGUUCUUAACCAAUGCUCUGCUGUUUUGUUAAUCAAAAAGCUGGUUUACACUGCACAUAAUUGGAACUAAUAUAGAAGUAAAUAAAGACAGCCAAAUUUGAGGAUGCUGAGCACAGGCAUUUAUCGGAAAAGGAAGAAAUCUCUUAGCCUCCAAUGGUUCAGGCUCAAUUUCUUAAACAACUGUGAGGCUUUUUUUUUUUUUUUUUUUUUUUUUAAGAGUGAAAGUGCUUGAGAACCUCAGAGCACAAAUAAACUUCCAGUCCCACAGCCUUUGGGCUUCCUUGCAAAGGUAAAGGUGGAGGUGUCAAGAAGUCUGAAGAACAGCCUUAUGCCAAUUUUUCGGCUUUAAUAUUGUUAAUAUGUUACAGCGCCCUGUUUUCAGUCUGAUGAAAUCUGAAAUAAAUAACACCCUGAUCCAA